Molecule: long non-coding RNA, 1156 nt
Organism: Fukomys damarensis (Damara mole-rat)
Lineage: Eukaryota; Metazoa; Chordata; Mammalia; Rodentia; Bathyergidae
Exons: 3
Source: RefSeq, a predicted model, not a curated record
UAUGCCACCACGCCCGGCUUCUCUUAUUGUCUUCUUAAGUGAGUCAUGUCUCUGAAUUCUCAAGUAAAUUCUCUUAGGGUUGGGACCAUGAUUGCUUUAUUCACUGUGUUAAAUGCCUUUCACUCAGUUUAACAUUUCCUUACUGUUUAGCUAUUCCUUGAUAUAGUUCUUAGUGUUGAAUCAUAUUAGGAAGCAAACUAGACCCAUGCCCAAACCCUGAGAAGCUCCACCCCCCACCCUAUGAGAUGCCAUCUUGGUUUCCUGAAGCAGCAUCAUGUCUUGGGUCUGUACUACAGUUGAGCUCUCCCUAUAAUUGCCAGCAUAGAUAGUUGUCUGCCAACAGGCUUAGUUAAUGGGUAGUCAGAGGAAGAUGUACAAAGAAGGCUAAAAAGGGGAGGGCAGAGAGGCAGGAGGAGACAGGAGAUAGUGGCACCACUAUCUUGUUAGAGAAACUAAGGAAGGCAGUUUAAAAAGAGACAUCAGGCGGCUGAGGGUGUAGCUCAGUAGUAGAGCACUUGACUAGCAUGUGUGAGUCCUUAGAUUCAAUACCCAGUUCCACAUACAAGCAAACAAAAAGCCAAAACAGACAUCAGAGCUGCCAAAUAGCUCAGAAGUAGCUUUCUGGGUUUUGGCAAUUAGCAGAGGCCUUCCCAGACAACUCCAUUUAAAGUACUUCUACCCCACCACUCUAUCUACAUCCACUUCUUUACUGUCUAUAUAGCACAGUCAGUAGCUGAAAUUGAUCCUUUUUGUUUAUUUCUAGCCUAUAUAUCUAAAGUACACUUCCUGAGAGAGCAUCUUUGUCUUUUCAUCUUUUUUUUUUUUUCUUUUUUUUUUGUAUCGGGGAUCGAACUCAGGACCUUGCUCUUGCAAAGCAGGCAGUGGCACCACUGAGCUAAAUCUCUAGCCCAACCUUGUUCACCCUUGUAUCCUCAGACUCCUGAAGAGUGCCUGACCCACAGUGAGGUAUGAGUAAGUGCUCAUACUUGUCCAAAGUCAUCCAGCUAAUAAGUGCUUCCUUGAUGAGAAAAUGAGGUCUGUCUGCAGUUGAAGAAAUAUCUUACUCUCAUGUAAAGAAGCUGCUUACCAGGACAUAGUGGCAUAUACCUGUAGUCCCAGCACUCAGGAGGCUGAGGCAGGAGGAUCACAAGUUCAA